This 253-nucleotide ribosomal RNA is filed under the name uncultured bacterium. RNAcentral's name for it is "partial 16S ribosomal RNA". It matches the Rfam family "Bacterial small subunit ribosomal RNA", at positions 524 to 776 of the family's 1533-position model. The record is from RNAcentral.
UACGGGGGGGGCAAGCGUUGUUCGGAAUUACUGGGCGUAAAGGGCUCGUAGGUGGCCAACUAAGUCAGACGUGAAAUCCCUCGGCUUAACCGGGGAACUGCGUCUGAUACUGGAUGGCUUGAGUUUGGGAGAGGAAUGCGGAAUUCCAGGUGUAGCGGUGAAAUGUGUAGAUAUCUGGAGGAACACCGGUGGCGAAGGCGGCAUUCUGGACCAAUACUGACGCUGAGGAGCGAAAGCCAGGGGAGCAAACGGG